Mycena metata is the source of this 94-nucleotide non-coding RNA. NCBI's taxonomy places the organism in Eukaryota, Fungi, Basidiomycota, Agaricomycetes, Agaricales, Mycenaceae. The record is from the annotation of a GenBank genome assembly.
GACCCCGUAGCAUAUGGCAUGCGUCCGCGCUCCUUGCGUUCCAUCCAUCCGGUUUUGGAUGUGGAAGAACCCGGUUCGAUUCCGGGCGGGGUCU